AGGACACCGCCCUUUCACGGCGGUAACAGGGGUUCGAAUCCCCUAAGGGACGCCACCUGCUGGUAAUGAGUGAAAGGCGUUACCGAUUGAUAUCUCAAAACUGACUGUAAAGUCACGUUUGAGAUAUUUGCUCUUUAACAAUCCGGAACAAGCUGAAAAUUGAAACAGACAUGCUGCUGCAUUUCUCCGUAAUAAGAAAUGCGCGGUGUGUCAGAGUCUCUCAAACUCGGCACCCGAAGAC
Molecule: unclassified non-coding RNA, 241 nt
Filed under: Cronobacter sakazakii
Lineage: Bacteria; Pseudomonadati; Pseudomonadota; Gammaproteobacteria; Enterobacterales; Enterobacteriaceae
Description: partial contains 16S ribosomal RNA, 16S-23S ribosomal RNA intergenic spacer, and 23S ribosomal RNA
Rfam family: tRNA (bases 1-52)
Source: RNAcentral